UGGCUCAGGACGAACGCUGGCGGCGUGCUUAACACAUGCAAGUCGAACGGGGAUUAGUUGAUUGAGAGCUUCGGCAGGAUAUCGAUUAAUUCGAGUGGCGGACGGGUGAGUAACGCGUGAGCAACCUGUCCCAGACAGGGGGAUAACACUUGGAAACAGGUGCUAAUACCGCAUAAGACCACGGGAUCACAUGGUUCCGGGGUAAAAGGAGCAAUCCGGUUUGGGGUGGGCUCGCGUCCGAUUAGCCAGUUGGCGGGUAACGGCCCACCAAAGCGACGAUCGGUAGCCGACCUGAGAGGGUGAACGGCCACAUUGGAACUGAGAGACGGUCCAAACUCCUACGGGAGGCAGCAGUGGGGAAUAUUGGGCAAUGGGCGAAAGCCCUGACCCAGCAACGCCGCGUGAGUGAAGAAGGCCUUCGGGUUGUAAAGCUCUGUUAUAGUUGACGAAGGAAGUCGACGGUAGGCUAUAAGGAAGCCCGGCUAACUACGUGCCAGCCGCCGC
RNAcentral lists this ribosomal RNA (504 nucleotides) under uncultured bacterium. RNAcentral's name for it is "bacterial SSU rRNA". It matches the Rfam family "Bacterial small subunit ribosomal RNA", at positions 20 to 518 of the family's 1533-position model. The record is from RNAcentral.